Molecule: ribosomal RNA, 468 nt
Filed under: uncultured bacterium
Lineage: Bacteria
Description: partial 16S ribosomal RNA
Rfam family: Bacterial small subunit ribosomal RNA
Source: RNAcentral
GACGAACCCUGGCGGCGUGCUUAACACAUGCAAGUCGAACGGAAAGGCCCUGCUUUUGUGGGGUGCUCGAGUGGCGAACGGGUGAGUAACACGUGAGUAACCUGCCCUUGACUUUGGGAUAACUUCAGGAAACUGGGGCUAAUACCGGAUAGGAGCUCCUGCUGCAUGGUGGGGGUUGGAAAGUUUCGGCGGUUGGGGAUGGACUCGCGGCUUAUCAGCUUGUUGGUGGGGUAGUGGCUUACCAAGGCUUUGACGGGUAGCCGGCCUGAGAGGGUGACCGGCCACAUUGGGACUGAGAUACGGCCCAGACUCCUACGGGAGGCAGCAGUGGGGAAUAUUGCACAAUGGGCGGAAGCCUGAUGCAGCAACGCCGCGUGCGGGAUGACGGCCUUCGGGUUGUAAACCGCUUUCGCCUGUGACGAAGCGUGAGUGACGGUAAUGGGUAAAGAAGCACCGGCUAACUACGUG